CAAAGAGCAAAUAUUGCUGUGUUUGAAAUGCACGAAAAAACAACUGCGCUAACAGGCCUUUUGUGAACUUUACGCGAAAAUUGCACCCCGUGAAAAUAUAUACGAUUACAGUAUC
Molecule: long non-coding RNA, 115 nt
Organism: Haliotis rubra (blacklip abalone)
Lineage: Eukaryota; Metazoa; Mollusca; Gastropoda; Lepetellida; Haliotidae
Exons: 3
Source: RefSeq, a predicted model, not a curated record